This 341-nucleotide small RNA is filed under the name Pan troglodytes (chimpanzee). RNAcentral's name for it is "processed transcript". The record is from RNAcentral. Lineage: Eukaryota; Metazoa; Chordata; Mammalia; Primates; Hominidae.
GGGAGGAGCGCUCUUCCUGGUUGGGCCCUGCCCUGAGCUGCCACCGGGAAGCCAGCCUCAGGGACUGCAGCGACCCCCAAACACCCCUCCCCCAGCCUGGGUUACAAGGACCUGGGUCCCAAUUCCUCCAAGACCUAUGGCAUCAAGUGGAAGCGUCCCACGGAGCUGCUGUCAAACCCCCAGUUCAUCGUGGAUGGAGCUACCCGCACAGACAUCUGCCAGGGAGCACUGGGGGACUGCUGGCUCUUGGCGGCCAUCGCCUCCCUCACUCUCAACGACACCCUCCUGCACCGAGUGGUUCCCCACGGCCAGAGCUUCCAGAAUGGCUAUGCCGGCAUCUU